UCAGGUUAUUGACUGAUCGCGUGGCUUGCUACGAGGAAAGUCCGGGCAGCUUAGGGAAGAACAGUCGCUAACGGCGACCGGGGGUAACCCUAGGGAAAGUGCCACAGAAACGAAACUACCUAGCAAUAGGAAAAGGUGAAACGAGUGGGGUAAAAGCCCACAAUCUCUAACGGUGACGUUAGAGGGAGGUAAACCCUGUUUGCUGCAAGGAGAUGGACUUUAGUCGGCUAAACCGACUGGUGUCCCGCCAGAGUUCAUCACUCUACCCGCUAGAGUCUUCGGGCAACCGGAGAACUAGAUAGAUGAUCAGAUAAAACAGAACCCGGCUUACGGAUAACCUGACACU
This 346-nucleotide RNase P RNA is filed under the name Candidatus Saccharimonadota bacterium. Its description in RNAcentral is "RNase P RNA component class A". It matches the Rfam family "Bacterial RNase P class A". From Rfam's summary of the family: Ribonuclease P (RNase P) is a ubiquitous endoribonuclease, found in archaea, bacteria and eukarya as well as chloroplasts and mitochondria. The record is from RNAcentral. Lineage: Bacteria; Candidatus Saccharimonadota.